RNAcentral lists this long non-coding RNA (982 nucleotides) under Elaeis guineensis (African oil palm). Its description in RNAcentral is "long non-coding RNA (EGUI_LNC037964)". The record is from RNAcentral. Lineage: Eukaryota; Viridiplantae; Streptophyta; Magnoliopsida; Arecales; Arecaceae.
GCCAGCUUAAACAGAAAAUCGGUGAGCACAGACGAGCCAUAAAAGGGGGAAAACAUCACCAGGUAAUAGAGACUAGUAUUCACAAACAUAAUACCAAAAGGAGUAAUAACAUUGAUAGCGUAGAUAAGACUGCUUAUACUAGAGAGAGCAGAGUGUAUCAUCAAGCUUCUUUAGCCACCAGCGGGAGGCUGCAACACUUAGUUUCAAGACUCUUCAAAUACAUGAUAGGAGUUGAAGCUUCUUCAUCUGAGAUGAUCAACCCACAUCUAUUGAUCAUUGUGGCAAUUUCUCCAGCAGUGAGCGAGUUGAUGAACAAAAUAUUCUCCUCAUGCAGCUAUACUUCUUGGUAAUUCCCAAUGACUUAAGCUUCUUUGACUGUAUGCCAGCCUUCUUAUAGCUGUAGUUGCCGAGUUUUGAGGAGUUCGGCAUAGGCCAAUACUGUUGAGUAUGGUGGUGAAAGCCUGGGAAGUAGGAAUGGGCUGGAGAGAGGAUGGGGUAACGUGUUUAUGUGGCUUAACGGUCGAGUACUUAGUAGGACAGUUGAAAGGCUUUGUGGCAAAAUUCAAAAGUUCAAAAGGCCCACCCGUUGUGGCCUUUGAAACGACACGAAACGGAUUGUUUGAGGUGAUAUGUUUGUUUUGAAAUUUGAAUCGGUAAGAGUCACCAAAUUCAGGAAGUUAGCUGCGAACUUAAGUAGCUCAGGUGCAAUGAAGAGAGUAGGGUUAGGGAUGUAAGAGUAGAUUUCCGGUGCGAGAGUCUCCUGAUACUCCGGGAACGAGUCGAUGGGGGAGAGAGGUGGUAAGAGAAAAUAGCGCCGUCGAGAAGAAGAGUGAUGAUUGUACCCUUCCGGAGAACUGGCACCGGAGGCACUGCCCUGGCCAUGAGAAGGAUUAUGGGGCUGACUAUGGUGCACCGAACCAAACCAGAACUCGUAGUCCGAAUCUCCUAGAUCCCCUUGUUCUUCACUUCGCGAAGAAGAGUG